Molecule: ribosomal RNA, 468 nt
Filed under: uncultured bacterium
Lineage: Bacteria
Description: partial 16S ribosomal RNA
Rfam family: Bacterial small subunit ribosomal RNA
Source: RNAcentral
GACGAACGCUGGCGGCGUGCUUAACACAUGCAAGUCGAACGGAAAGGCCCUGCUUUUGUGGGGUGCUCGAGUGGCGAACGGGUGAGUAACACGUGAGUAACCUGCCCUUUACUUUGGGAUAACUUCAGGAAACUGGGGCUAAUACCGGAUAGGAUCUCCUGCUGCAUGGUGGGGGUUGGAAAGUUUCGGCGGUUGGGGAUGGACUCGCGGCUUAUCAGCUUGUUGGUGGGGUAGUGGCUUACCAAGGCUUUGACGGGUAGCCGGCCUGUGAGGGUGACCGGCGACAAUGGGACUGAGAUACGGCCCAGACUCCUACGGGAGGCAGCAGUGGGGAAUAUUGCACAAUGGGAGGAAGCCUGAUGAAGAAACGCAGCGAGCGGGAUGACGGCCUUCGGGUUGUAAACAGAUUUAGCAUGUGACGAAGAGUGAGUGACGGUAAUGGGUAAAGAAGCACCGGCUAACUACGUG